Molecule: transfer RNA, 61 nt
Filed under: Caulobacter sp. D4A
Lineage: Bacteria; Pseudomonadati; Pseudomonadota; Alphaproteobacteria; Caulobacterales; Caulobacteraceae
Description: tRNA-Arg
Rfam family: tRNA
About the family: Transfer RNA (tRNA) molecules are approximately 80 nucleotides in length. Their secondary structure includes four short double-helical elements and three loops (D, anti-codon, and T loops). Further hydrogen bonds mediate the characteristic L-shaped molecular structure. tRNAs have two regions of fundamental functional importance: the anti-codon, which is responsible for specific mRNA codon recognition, and the 3' end, to which the tRNAs corresponding amino acid is attached (by aminoacyl-tRNA synthetases). tRNAs cope with the degeneracy of the genetic code in two manners: having more than one tRNA (with a specific anti-codon) for a particular amino acid; and 'wobble' base-pairing, i.e. permitting non-standard base-pairing at the 3rd anti-codon position.
Source: RNAcentral
GUAGCUCAGCUGGAUAGAGCAUCAGACUACGAAUCUGAGGGUCGGACGUUCGAAUCGUUCC